UCGCAAAAGUGUUGUUAACCACUGUAAACGUUACUUACUACACUUGAUACGUAUACCAUAAUGAUGGCCGAAAACUGUGUAGGGUGUGACAGAAGUCUUAUUGUGUGAGUGAAAAAGAAGACCGGCUUCAGUCUCAUUCCUUCGAGCGGGAUGAAAAAAAAUUAAAUUACCAAAAUGGCUUUAAAAAUAUAGGGGUUGGUGAUAAAAAAGUAAAUAUUUAGAGUUGUAUGUAUUUUUUAAUACCACAUUAUAAUUUUAAGUGUAUUUGGCACUAUUAGUUCAGUUAAUCAAGUUUUACAUACUUACACACUUAUAAUAAGUAAGUUACUCUUUGUCUACACUAAAAUUUUUCUAGAAACUAGAAAUAAUUUAUAUGGCUAAACAACGUUUGCCCGGUUAACUAGUAUAUAUAUUACAUAUGGUACUCAAGGUUUUAGAUCUCACUAUUUAAGAAAUAAGCCACGAGGCGGCGCUAAGGUAGAUACUUUACUAGCGUAUACAAAACUUGUUUAUACACAAAGGCGUAACGAUCAAAUAACUUUAUGAUUUAGUCUGAAAUUCUCAAAACGAACUGUUACUACAAUUUUAUUAUUAUCGGCUUAUUUAUUAUCGGCCAUAAUAACCGUGGCAGUAACAAACAACUAAACAACAACUAAACAUAAACAGUAUCAUUCGCAUUUAUCGGUAUUACUAGCGCCACCUUGAUUUUUUGAAGUGAAAACAAAUACACUGCACCAACUUAUCAU
This is a long non-coding RNA of Dalotia coriaria, 746 nucleotides long. RefSeq lists it as uncharacterized. NCBI's taxonomy places the organism in Eukaryota, Metazoa, Arthropoda, Insecta, Coleoptera, Staphylinidae. The record is from RefSeq and is a predicted model, not a curated record. The transcript is spliced from 2 exons.